This 73-nucleotide transfer RNA is filed under the name Trichonephila inaurata madagascariensis. RNAcentral describes it as "tRNA-Thr". It matches the Rfam family "tRNA". From Rfam's summary of the family: Transfer RNA (tRNA) molecules are approximately 80 nucleotides in length. The record is from RNAcentral. Lineage: Eukaryota; Metazoa; Arthropoda; Arachnida; Araneae; Nephilidae.
GCCUAAGUAGUAUGGGGGUUAUGACACUCGACUUGUAAUCGAGUGGGCUAGGGUUCGAAUUCCGAAUAAGGUU